Molecule: non-coding RNA, 179 nt
Filed under: Peptoniphilus grossensis
Lineage: Bacteria; Bacillati; Bacillota; Tissierellia; Tissierellales; Peptoniphilaceae
Description: T-box sequence
Rfam family: T-box leader
About the family: Uncharged tRNA acts as the effector for transcription antitermination of genes in the T-box leader family.
Source: RNAcentral
AAAUAAACUUUGAUAAGAAGAGUAAAUUAUAUAAAAUUUUAAGAGAGGAAAUGGAAGGUGCAAAUUUCUAAUUUUAUAUUUUUGAAAACUAACUUGGAGUUCCAUAGCAAACUAUGGCGUAAGGAUGCGUUAAAUCCCUUGAGUUUAAUUAAGGUGGAACCACGGUCAUCGUCCUUUGG